RNAcentral lists this ribosomal RNA (274 nucleotides) under uncultured bacterium. Its description in RNAcentral is "partial 16S ribosomal RNA". It matches the Rfam family "Bacterial small subunit ribosomal RNA", at positions 523 to 796 of the family's 1533-position model. The record is from RNAcentral.
AUACGGGGGGUGCAAGCGUUAAUCGGAAUUACUGGGCGUAAAGCGCGCGUAGGCGGUUUGCUCAGUCGGAUGUGAAAGCCCAGGGCUCAACCUUGGAACUGCAUACGAUACUGGCAAACUAGAGUGGGAGAGGGGAUAGUGGAAUUUCCGGUGUAGCGGUGAAAUGCGUAGAUAUCGGAAGGAACAUCAGUGGCGAAGGCGACUGUCUGGCUCAACACUGACGCUGAGGUGCGAAAGCGUGGGUAGCAAACAGGAUUAGAAACCCUAGUAGUCC